This 518-nucleotide ribosomal RNA is filed under the name uncultured bacterium. RNAcentral describes it as "bacterial SSU rRNA". It matches the Rfam family "Bacterial small subunit ribosomal RNA", at positions 8 to 526 of the family's 1533-position model. The record is from RNAcentral.
AGAGUUUGAUCCUGGCUCAGAUUGAACGCUGGCGGCAGGCCUAACACAUGCAAGUCGAGCGCGAAAGUUCUUCGGAAUGAGUAAAGCGGCGCACGGGUGCGUAACGCGUAUGCAAUCUACCUUUUACAGAGGGAUAGCCCAGAGAAAUUUGGAUUAAUACCUCAUAGUAUAGCUGUACCGCAUGGUACUACUAUUAAAGUCACAACGGUAAAAGAUGAGCAUGCGUCCCAUUAGCUAGUUGGUGUGGUAACGGCAUACCAAGGCAACGAUGGGUAGGGGUCCUGAGAGGGAGAUCCCCCACACUGGUACUGAGACACGGACCAGACUCCUACGGGAGGCAGCAGUGAGGAAUAUUGGUCAAUGGGCGCAAGCCUGAACCAGCCAUGCCGCGUGCAGGAUGACGGUCCUAUGGAUUGUAAACUGCUUUUGUACAGGAAGAAACACUCCCUCGUGAGGGAGCUUGACGGUACUGUAAGAAUAAGGAUCGGCUAACUCCGUGCCAGCAGCCGCGGUAAUUC